RNAcentral lists this ribosomal RNA (452 nucleotides) under uncultured Sphingomonadaceae bacterium. Its description in RNAcentral is "partial 16S ribosomal RNA". Lineage: Bacteria; Pseudomonadati; Pseudomonadota; Alphaproteobacteria; Sphingomonadales; Sphingomonadaceae. The record is from RNAcentral.
CACGGAGUUAGCCGGGGCUUAUUCUCCCGGUACAGUCAUUAUCUUCCCGGGUAAAGAGCUUUACAACCCGAAGGCCUUCUUCACUCACGCGGCAUUGCUGGAUCAGGCUUUCGCCCAUUGUCCAAUAUUCCCCACUGCUGCCUCCCGUAGGAGUCUGGGCCGUGUCUCAGUCCCAGUGUGGCUGAUCAUCCUCUCAGACCAGCUAUGGAUCGUAGCCUUGGUAGGCCUUUACCCCACCAACUAGCUAAUCCAACGCGGGCUCAUCCCUAGGCGAUAAAUCUUUGGUCUUGCGACAUCAUACGGUAUUAGCACAAGUUUCCCUGAGUUAUUCCGUACCUAAGGGCAGAUUCCCACGCGUUACGCACCCGUGCGCCACUAGACCCGAAGGUCUCGUUCGACUUGCAUGUGUUAGGCAUGCCGCCAGCGUUCGUUCUGAGCCAGGAUCAAACUCU